CAGUAGCCACGGUAAUACGGAGGGAGCUAGCGUUGUUCGGAAUUACUGGGCGUAAAGCGCGCGUAGGCGGUUACUCAAGUCAGAGGUGAAAGCCCGGGGCUCAACCCCGGAACUGCCUUUGAAACUAGGUGACUAGAAUCUUGGAGAGGUCAGUGGAAUUCCGAGUGUAGAGGUGAAAUUCGUAGAUAUUCGGAAGAACACCAGUGGCGAAGGCGACUGACUGGACAAGUAUUGACGCUGAGGUGCGAAAGCGUGGGGAGCAAACAGGAUUAGAUACCCCUGUAGUCCCUGUUUCUUAUAC
RNAcentral lists this ribosomal RNA (301 nucleotides) under uncultured bacterium. RNAcentral's name for it is "partial 16S ribosomal RNA". It matches the Rfam family "Bacterial small subunit ribosomal RNA", at positions 509 to 807 of the family's 1533-position model. The record is from RNAcentral.